CACCGAUAUCAGGUGCCACAAAUGUAUAAACAUCUGGCACAACAUUAGUCUCAAGAACAGUUUCCUUCAUAUACUCAUCAAUACAGUAACUAUUGACCUUAGUAGAAGCGUCAACAGCAGAAUUAACAUUUGCAAAAGAAUUUAAAUCAUAUUUCCCUUGAUUAGUAUGCACCAGACAAUGGAGAGAGGGAUACAAGACAUACCUUCUUUCACUUCAACACAAACACACA
Molecule: long non-coding RNA, 230 nt
Filed under: Trifolium pratense (red clover)
Lineage: Eukaryota; Viridiplantae; Streptophyta; Magnoliopsida; Fabales; Fabaceae
Description: long non-coding RNA (TPRA_LNC012976)
Source: RNAcentral